UUUAGCCACUAGAAGAGGAGGAUAUUUAGGGUUUUUGAAUCCGAUGAGGAUGAGGAUAGUGAGUAAGUCUAACAAGAAAAAAGAGAAGAAAGAAUACUUCAAAGAGAAAAUGGACCCAGAGAUUCCAAUUCUAGUUGAAGUGCCAUAUCAUGAAGGAAAAGAGGAGAAAAACAAGGAUCUUGGAAUCCAUGAAGGAAUCCACCUCCUACAC
This 211-nucleotide long non-coding RNA is filed under the name Carica papaya (papaya). RNAcentral describes it as "long non-coding RNA (CPAP_LNC002285)". The record is from RNAcentral. Lineage: Eukaryota; Viridiplantae; Streptophyta; Magnoliopsida; Brassicales; Caricaceae.